GGAGUAGUACUCAAGAGGCUGAAGAGGGAUCCCUGCUAAGGAUUUAGGUCGGCGAAUGCUGGCGCGGAGGUUCAAAUCCUCUCUACUCCGCCA
RNAcentral lists this transfer RNA (93 nucleotides) under Clostridium sp. CAG:609. Its description in RNAcentral is "transfer RNA-Ser(GCT)". It matches the Rfam family "tRNA". From Rfam's summary of the family: Transfer RNA (tRNA) molecules are approximately 80 nucleotides in length. Their secondary structure includes four short double-helical elements and three loops (D, anti-codon, and T loops). RNAcentral also lists the same sequence under 1 other name. The record is from RNAcentral. Lineage: Bacteria; Bacillati; Bacillota; Clostridia; Eubacteriales; Clostridiaceae.